CCUACGGGGGGCUGCAGUGGGGAAUAUUGGACAAUGGGGGCAACCCUGAUCCAGCCAUGCCGCGUGUGUGAAGAAGGCCCUCGGGUUGUAAAGAACUUUCAGUGAGGAAGAACGCCUGGUGGUUAAUACCCAUCAGGAAAGACAUCACUCACAGAAGAAGCACCGGCUAACUCCGUGCCAGCAGCCGCGGUAAUACGGAGGGUGCGAGCGUUAAUCGGAAUUACUGGGCGUAAAGCGCGCGUAGGUGGCUUGAUAAGCCGGUUGUGAAAGCCCCGGGCUCAACCUGGGAACGGCAUCCGGAACUGUCAAGCUAGAGUGCAGGAGAGGAAGGUAGAAUUCCCGGUGUAGCGGUGAAAUGCGUAGAGAUCGGGAGGAAUACCAGUGGCGAAGGCGGCCUUCUGGACUGACACUGACACUGAGGUGCGAAAGCGUGGGUAGCAAACAGGAUUAGAUACCCGUGUAGUC
RNAcentral lists this ribosomal RNA (465 nucleotides) under Vreelandella stevensii. RNAcentral describes it as "partial 16S ribosomal RNA". It matches the Rfam family "Bacterial small subunit ribosomal RNA", at positions 338 to 795 of the family's 1533-position model. Lineage: Bacteria; Pseudomonadati; Pseudomonadota; Gammaproteobacteria; Oceanospirillales; Halomonadaceae. The record is from RNAcentral.